This 494-nucleotide ribosomal RNA is filed under the name uncultured bacterium. RNAcentral describes it as "bacterial SSU rRNA". It matches the Rfam family "Bacterial small subunit ribosomal RNA", at positions 903 to 1397 of the family's 1533-position model. The record is from RNAcentral.
AAAUGAAUUGACGGGGGCCCGCACAAGCGGUGGAGCAUGUGGUUUAAUUCGAUGCAACGCGAAGAACCUUACCAGGUCUUGACAUCCAUGGAAGCCCUAUGAAAGUAGGGUGUGCCUUCGGGAGCUAUGAGACAGGUGGUGCAUGGUUGUCGUCAGCUCGUGUCGUGAGAUGUUGGGUUAAGUCCCGCAACGAGCGCAACCCUUGCUAUUAGUUGCUAACAGGCGAGCUGAGCACUCUAAUGGAACUGCCCGUGACAAGCGGGAGGAAGGUGGGGAUGACGUCAAAUCAUCAUGCCCUUUAUGAUCUGGGCUACACACGUGCUACAAUGGGUGGUACAGAGAGCAGCGAGACCGCGAGGUGGAGCGAAUCUCAAAAAGCCACUCACAGUUCGGAUUGCAGUCUGCAACUCGACUGCAUGAAGUCGGAAUCGCUAGUAAUCGCGAAUCAGCAUGUCGCGGUGAAUGCGUUCCCGGGCCUUGUACACACCGCCCGU